RNAcentral lists this ribosomal RNA (491 nucleotides) under uncultured bacterium. RNAcentral's name for it is "partial 16S ribosomal RNA". It matches the Rfam family "Bacterial small subunit ribosomal RNA", at positions 29 to 506 of the family's 1533-position model. The record is from RNAcentral.
AGUGAACGCUGGCGGUAGGCCUAACACAUGCAAGUCGAACGGCAGCACAGUAAGAGCUUGCUCUUACGGGUGGCGAGUGGCGGACGGGUGAGGAAUACAUCGGUAUCUACUUUUUCGUGGGGGAUAACGUAGGGAAACUUACGCUAAUACCGCAUACGACCUACGGGUGAAAGCAGGGGAUCUUCGGACCUUGCGCGAUUGAAUGAGCCGAUGUCGGAUUAGCUAGUUGGCGGGGUAAAGGCCCACCAAGGCGACGAUCCGUCGCUGGGCUGAGAGGAUGAUCAGCCACACUGGAGCUGAGACACGGUCCAGAACCCUACGGGAGGCAGCAGCGGGGAAUAUUGGACAAUGGGCGCAAGCCUGAUCCAGCCAUACCGCGUGGGUGAAGAAGGCCUUCGGGUUGUAAAGCCCUUUUGUUGGGAAAGAAAAGCAGCAGGUUAAUACCCCGCUGUUCUGACGGUACCCAAAGAAUAAGCACGGGCUAACUCCGU